Molecule: ribosomal RNA, 1499 nt
Filed under: Weissella confusa
Lineage: Bacteria; Bacillati; Bacillota; Bacilli; Lactobacillales; Lactobacillaceae
Description: bacterial SSU rRNA
Rfam family: Bacterial small subunit ribosomal RNA
Source: RNAcentral
GAUGAACGCUGGCGGCGUGCCUAAUACAUGCAAGUCGAACGCUUUGUGGUUCAACUGAUUUGAAGAGCUUGCUCAGAUAUGACGAUGGACAUUGCAAAGAGUGGCGAACGGGUGAGUAACACGUGGGAAACCUACCUCUUAGCAGGGGAUAACAUUUGGAAACAGAUGCUAAUACCGUAUAACAAUGACAACCGCAUGGUUGUUAUUUAAAAGAUGGUUCUGCUAUCACUAAGAGAUGGUCCCGCGGUGCAUUAGCUAGUUGGUAAGGUAAUGGCUUACCAAGGCGAUGAUGCAUAGCCGAGUUGAGAGACUGAUCGGCCACAAUGGGACUGAGACACGGCCCAUACUCCUACGGGAGGCAGCAGUAGGGAAUCUUCCACAAUGGGCGAAAGCCUGAUGGAGCAACGCCGCGUGUGUGAUGAAGGGUUUCGGCUCGUAAAACACUGUUGUAAGAGAAGAAUGACAUUGAGAGUAACUGUUCAAUGUGUGACGGUAUCUUACCAGAAAGGAACGGCUAAAUGCGUGCCAGCAGCCGCGGUAAUACGUAUGUUCCAAGCGUUAUCCGGAUUUAUUGGGCGUAAAGCGAGCGCAGACGGUUAUUUAAGUCUGAAGUGAAAGCCCUCAGCUCAACUGAGGAAUUGCUUUGGAAACUGGAUGACUUGAGUGCAGUAGAGGAAAGUGGAACUCCAUGUGUAGCGGUGAAAUGCGUAGAUAUAUGGAAGAACACCAGUGGCGAAGGCGGCUUUCUGGACUGUAACUGACGUUGAGGCUCGAAAGUGUGGGUAGCAAACAGGAUUAGAUACCCUGGUAGUCCACACCGUAAACGAUGAGUGCUAGGUGUUUGAGGGUUUCCGCCCUUAAGUGCCGCAGCUAACGCAUUAAGCACUCCGCCUGGGGAGUACGACCGCAAGGUUGAAACUCAAAGGAAUUGACGGGGACCCGCACAAGCGGUGGAGCAUGUGGUUUAAUUCGAAGCAACGCGAAGAACCUUACCAGGUCUUGACAUCCCUUGACAACUCCAGAGAUGGAGCGUUCCCUUCGGGGACAAGGUGACAGGUGGUGCAUGGUUGUCGUCAGCUCGUGUCGUGAGAUGUUGGGUUAAGUCCCGCAACGAGCGCAACCCUUAUUACUAGUUGCUAGCAUUCAGUUGGGCACUCUAGUGAGACUGCCGGUGACAAACCGGAGGAAGGUGGGGAUGACGUCAAAUCAUCAUGCCCCUUAUGACCUGGGCUACACACGUGCUACAAUGGCGUAUACAACGAGUUGCCAACCCGCGAGGGUGAGCUAAUCUCUUAAAGUACGUCUCAGUUCGGAUUGUAGGCUGCAACUCGCCUACAUGAAGUCGGAAUCGCUAGUAAUCGCGGAUCAGCACGCCGCGGUGAAUACGUUCCCGGGUCUUGUACACACCGCCCGUCACACCAUGAGAGUUUGUAACACCCAAAGCCGGUGGGGUAACCUUCGGGAGCCAGCCGUCUAAGGUGGGACAGAUGAUUAGGGUG